UUUUGCCCAUCCAGGACUUUUACUUAGAAAAAUGCUGUACAUUAAUUACACCAUUAAGUCACCAUAACUCUCUGUGAUGGCCAGAGAGGAAGUUUUAGAUGUAUUUCAGUUCUCUAGACUCAUCCACAUAGGUAUGCUGCUCCUGAUCAUCCCAAGAGUUUUCUCCAUCUCCAGUCAGACUCCAUUCACAAACAGAACACUGCACCUUUCCUGCAGCUGGCCACCAUUAAACUUUCAGGAGGAUCUCAGUGCAUCGAAGACGGAUUUUGUGGAGUCUGAAGUCAUCCUGAGUGCUGUGGAAACAGAACAGAAGCCCAUGUUUCAGCCAGGAUUGCAAUGGCCUCCUCCCAUGGGAAUCACAGCUGCAUAAAUAGUAGGGAAGCCCUCAGUGGAAUUGCUUCCAACACCUUUCUAAUGGAAAUAAUGAUUUGCAAAGUCCAGUUUAUACCUUUGCCACAUAAUUAGUAGCCAAGAUUAAAAACAUUGUUCCAACUCCCAGCAUCGUUGAAAUCUGGCAAAACCUUAAAUAUUCCACUGUGUUCCAAAAAGGUAGCCCAUAAGUGAUCAUUGUAAGGACACUCUUAGCCAGUUCAGUCAAGCCCUUGAAUCAAUCAGCACUUAUUAUAUGGAAAUUAACCAGUUUGAUGUCAAUUAGUGGAAAUUUGUUAGCACACAUAACCUAUGAAAUGUUUUAUUUUGAAUUCCUUGCUCUCCUCUCUGAAGCUAGCUAAGAUGGGGCUAAGGACCUAGCCACACAUUUCUGAAGGCCUAGAGUAGAAUUAAUUAAAAAAGAAGCAGAAUGAAGCUGUAGUCAAAUACACAAAAACUCUACUGUCUAUAAGGCACAACAAGAAGAAGGAACUGGAUAUCAGACUUUUUUCCUGCAAGGAAUCAAUUUCUAGUCACAGAUUUGGGUGCAUAACAGUCUAUUCUGUAUGUGUCAAUACUGAGUAUAGGGAGAGAGUGUAGAAGUGUAUCUAGUCUAACGGCAGUAUGUACCCUAAUUUUGUGCUACUUUAGAAGUCCUUUUCUACCAUGUUCUUAUACAUUAUAUUCUCAUAUUAAGAAAGUAAUAGCUUCUAAAUUAAAAAUGUCCAACUUAAUCAUUAAUUUUCCUCCUAAAAAUAAUGUAAAAUAACCUAUAAAAGUAAAAAAAAAAAAAAAAAGAAAAAAAAAGAAAAAAAGUCUGGCUGCUCAAGCCAGAAAGGGUGAUGAAAGACUUCCUCAAGUCUUAAGAACUUUACUUGUCUGGCACACGCGGUGGAUUUGACUUUACUGUGAAUUCUAACUUUUGUUUAAAAUUAAUAAAGUACCCUCAC
RNAcentral lists this long non-coding RNA (1319 nucleotides) under Numida meleagris (helmeted guineafowl). RNAcentral's name for it is "lncRNA (ENSNMEG00000022221.1)". Lineage: Eukaryota; Metazoa; Chordata; Aves; Galliformes; Numididae. The record is from RNAcentral.